This 242-nucleotide ribosomal RNA is filed under the name uncultured bacterium. Its description in RNAcentral is "partial 16S ribosomal RNA". It matches the Rfam family "Bacterial small subunit ribosomal RNA", at positions 29 to 260 of the family's 1533-position model. The record is from RNAcentral.
AGUGAACGCUGGCGGUGUGCUUAACACAUGCAAGUCGAACGAGAACGGACUAAAGUUUACUUUAGUUGUCAGCUAAGUGGCGCACGGGUGAGUAAUCUAUAGCUAACCUACCCUAAAGAGGGGGAUAAUUAAUGGAACGUUUGUAAUACCCUAUACCUCUUAUCUACACAAGUAUAUAAGAAGAAAACUUUAAGUGCUUUAGGUAGUGGGGCGUGUAUUGUAUCAGCUAGUUGGUGGUGUAA